RNAcentral lists this unclassified non-coding RNA (1783 nucleotides) under Hevea brasiliensis (rubber tree). The record is from RNAcentral. Lineage: Eukaryota; Viridiplantae; Streptophyta; Magnoliopsida; Malpighiales; Euphorbiaceae.
UUCGAGCCUAAGCCCAUAUGAAUUUGGAACAUGUCCCCAAGAUGCCGACUUAAACAAUAUUUGAGAAUAAAAUUCCUUCCUCAAGAAGUCCUCUGCCUGAACCAGAGCAUAGCUACAAAUUUCACGGAGAGAAUACAAAACUUCCAUAUUCCUUUCUGAAUUCUAGAAUCUGUAAAACCCUAUCAAAAUAACAAAGAAAUGGGGGGCUUAUCGGAGACCAAGUUCUUGCAGGAGCUGGUAUUAUACGCGGCAAGUGCAGCCCUAAGUUGUCUGGUAUUGUUUGCGGGGCUACGACAACUUGAUCCUAACCGGGAGGCCUCGAAGAAGGCCCUUGAACAGAAGAAGGAAAUCGCCAAGCGAUUGGGUCGCCCUCUUAUCCAGACCAAUCCAUACGAGGAUGUAAUAGCUUGUGAUGUCAUAAAUCCAGAUCACAUUGAUGUGGAAUUUGAGUCAAUUGGAGGAUUGGAAACUAUCAAGCAAGCUUUGUAUGAACUAGUGAUUCUUCCACUGCGGAGACCUGAGCUCUUUUCACAUGGGAAGCUUCUUGGGCCCCAAAAAGGGGUCCUGUUAUAUGGAUCACCAGGUACUGGUAAGACUAUGCUUGCCAAAGCUAUUGCAAAAGAGUCAGGCGCUGUUUUCAUUAAUGUGAGGAUCUCCAAUCUGAUGAGCAAGUGGUUUGGUGAUGCUCAAAAGCUCGUGGCUGCUGUUUUUAGCCUGGCUUAUAAACUUCAGCCUGCUAUUAUAUUUAUUGAUGAGGUUGACAGUUUCUUGGGGCAGCGCCGUACUACAGAUCACGAGGCAUUGACAAAUAUGAAGACUGAGUUCAUGGCUUUGUGGGAUGGGUUUACGACAGACCAGAAUGCACAAGUGAUGGUUCUUGCUGCUACAAACCGCCCAUCAGAACUUGAUGAAGCAAUACUUCGGCGUCUCCCUCAGGCCUUUGAGAUUGGGAUGCCUGAUCGCAGGGAGAGGGCUGAUAUAUUGAAGGUUAUUUUGAAGGGCGAGAGAGUGGAAGAAAGCAUUGACUUUGACUACAUAGCGAGCUUGUGUGAGGGUUACACAGGUUCUGAUCUUCUUGAACUCUGCAAGAAAGCCUCUUACUUUCCUAUUAGGGACCUACUGGAUGAGGAGAAGAAGGGGAAACGAUGUAGUACACCAAGGCCUUUGUUCCAGUCAGAUUUGGAAAAAGUUCUUGCAACAUCCACUAAGACAAGGAUUGCUGCAAAUGAGUACACUAGGUCAAGCUCACAAUCACUUGGAUGGUCUAGGCAGUCGGAUGAUUAUCAGGUUCAAGCCACAAUCAAUGAACUCUCUAAGCUUGUAGUUUCCCAAAUAUUGAACCUUCAAUCAGAUGCCCUGGACCAUUGAAAUCAUUGUCUUCAGUAAUUCACUUCAAAUGAUCUGUUGUUUCAUAAGAUUAUCCCACAGGCAUUUUAUUCUAUUUAUUUAGUGCUUUUGAGUAUGAUCCCAUGUAGAGUAUGUUAUCUGUGUAAUCAACAUGUUAAGCUAUUGAUUUUUAGGGCACUUGACAUACACUUUUGAAUGUCUUAGGAUUCCAUAUUUGGACGUAGCAGAAUGCUGGCUUGCUUUGCUGCAACAUGGUUACUGCACCUACAGAACUUCCCUCUUGUUAAUAGGGAUUCAAUUGCAAGAAUAGGAACCAGUUAUUCUGAUUUUGCUUAUGGCUAUUGGAGGUGUUUAGAAUUUCAACAUUUUGAUAUAGCAAUCGGAAACACUUAAAUUUUCUUAAUGUUCGGAUAUAUGCUCAAAAAGCACAUGCGUG